RNAcentral lists this long non-coding RNA (948 nucleotides) under Nicotiana benthamiana. RNAcentral describes it as "long non-coding RNA (NBEN_LNC028097)". Lineage: Eukaryota; Viridiplantae; Streptophyta; Magnoliopsida; Solanales; Solanaceae. The record is from RNAcentral.
AUAUGUCACCUGCUUUAUACCCAACAUUAUUCCAUAAAAUGGUUUUCCUACCGAAAUUUCCUCCCUACAUACUCACCUGUAUUCUUCCUACUUAAUUAUCUAGUGGAUUUGUAAUCUAUCUAGCUGCUAAAUCCCAAAAGUUAUAAGAAUUACACAAUUUACCAGUCAAAUCAAAAAUAUAAGUUGGGGACUAACAUAGUAUCAAACCACUGGUAAUUUAAAUGCAAUAAAUAAGCUAGGAAACUUGAGCAAGUGCAGGUAGUUUACAAAAGAAGAAUUAGAGCAGAACUUACUUGUAAAUCGGAUCAGAGUCACCAGAGGUGGCAUGGAGAAGUCGGAAAACUGAAGAAAUCGCGGCAAGAAACAGAACCAAACGACAUUUUUCCAUAUCGGAAUCGUGAAGUGAAAGUCAAAAGGGAAAAAAAAAUUGAAGACUGAUUCAGAAAUGAAUCAAGGGAUGAAAGUAACAGGAGCUGACAUAGAGUGUUGAAUUUAUAUAUAGGAAUUAAUUGAAGAGAGGAGAUGUGAAAUGGAUGAACGACGUGAACACAACCAAGAGAGAGAAAGAGAAGAGAUGAGAGAGAAUGAGGAGAUUUUAUUUGAUGAGUUGAGUUUAUUGAGUGACAGGCAAAGGUGAGGAGGUGAGGUGAGGUGAGCGGAGACCAGAAUCUCGUGAUUAGCACUCUCCCUGGCGUUUCACGAGCAGCCACGUGGAGUAUCUUAGGUGGCGUUUCUUGGUAAAUUUUGAGGAACAGAUUUUUUGGUAUACACAAAAAAAAAUAGAGAGAAAUUUAAAAAUAGCCAGAUUUACAAAUUCAUUGAAAAAUAGCCAAGUUUUUAAAAGCUUCAAAGGUGAGGAGGUGAGGUGAGGUGAGCGGAGACCAGAAUCUCGUGAUUAGCACUCUCCCUGGCGUUUCACGAGCAGCCACGUGGAGUUCUUAGGUGGCG